This 270-nucleotide ribosomal RNA is filed under the name uncultured archaeon. RNAcentral describes it as "partial 16S ribosomal RNA". It matches the Rfam family "Archaeal small subunit ribosomal RNA", at positions 477 to 747 of the family's 1478-position model. The record is from RNAcentral.
CAGCCCCUCGAGUGGUGGGGAUGAUUAUUUGGCCUAAAGCGUCCGUAGCCGGCCGUGUAAGUCUCCCGUUAAAUCCAGCGUCUCAAGCGUUGGACUGCGGGAGAUACUGUACGGCUAGAGAGUGGGAGAGGUCAGCGGUAUUCUGGGGGUAGGGGCGAAAUCCUUUGAUCCCCGGAGGACCACCAGUGGCGAAGGCUGCUGACUAGAACACGUCUGACGGUCAGGGACGAAAGCUGGGGUAGCGAACCGGAUUAGAUACCCGUGUAGUCC